ACUAGCCUUAACGUUUGAACAUGUGGCGGUAGCACGUCAGUAAUUCUCUUGCAAAUUGUUAAUGGUAUUUACAGGUUUUUAAAGAGAGAAUUAUUGGGGUGUUACAAUCGGAUUGGGAUACCUUUGUUCAAAUCUGCACUUCUGAUGAAUUUAAGGAAUUAAGCGAAAAGAAUCGUGAAAAGGCAAAGAAGAAGUCCUCAAGUUAUCAUGGCGGUAGACUUGGGUACCAAUAUUUUGAAGAGGAGAUUGUAAAAGAACUUGAAAAGCAAGGAGUCCAUGUGUCACAAGUUCCACGGCAUCUAACUUGGAUUAAAGCUCAUUCUCAUGUCAAAGAUGGAGUUAUAACAUUUGUCAAUCUUGCUGAUAAAGAAAUCCAUGAUGCAAUAAUAGCAUUAGAGAGUCAAGUUCAAAGAGGUGAAAUCAUUGCUAAGGGUCGGGAUGAUAUCUUAGCAAAAGCAAUGCAUAAGAGUGAGCAUGGUGGUUCAGUGAGAGUUGUUGGUUCAGGCAUUACAGUGAAGGAUUAUUUUGGUUAUAACAAACUUGCUCCACCCAGCCAAUUGCAUGCUAAAAUAGGCAUGAUGAAAUCGAAACUUGUCUCCAUGGAUAACAGACAAAUUUUAUGAUGUCCUUCUUGAUUUCAUGCUGCAGCCAAGAGCAAAUAAAAUCUUUCAUGGCUGUUGGAGGUCAACAAGUUCGUUUAGGUGGAUUUUUUGGUGGCGACAAUACUGCUAGUAGUUUGGAUGCUUGGUUUGGUGGCCUGACAGGUGGGUCAGGUGGGUUACGUGGGUUUGGUGGCCAGACAGGUGGGUUAGGUGGGUUUGUGGCUUGACAGGUAGCUUAGCUGGUGGGUUUGUUAGCUUGGGUGGUAGGUCUAGUGGCCUGGGUGUUAGCCUAAUAGGUGGGUAUGGUGGCCUAAUAGGUGGGUUUGGUGGCCAAGGUAGUGGGUCUCUUGGCCUGGCUAGUAGGUCUGGUGGCCUGGAGGGUGGGUCUAGUGGUCUGGCAGGUGGGUCACGUGCUCCGCAAUUGAAUGAUACUUUUGGUCAGGACUUCAAGGUAUCCCUCUAACUCAACUGUUAACAGGCAAAAUUUUCAAGCAAGGGAGAAAAGGGCAUGGGUUUACCCCUGAUUCAUUAGGGGGGGGCAGAUAUUUAUGGUACACAAGGUAAUGGGAAAGAAGAUAAUUGCGCAAAAACGUAAUCUCAUACUGAAAACCUAGAGACUGAGGCAUAUCAUUUUCCCUGGCCUCAAACAGAUCGUAACAAUCAACUUAAGCCUACCACUAACCUUGCAAAUCAGAGUUGUGAUUUGAAAGAAUUUCCCAAGGGUAGAGUGAUUGUUGUUUAGCAAUCGAAGGAAACAACAAAGAGUUGCAAAUUGUUGCUAACGGACAGGUAGAGAAAACAACAAAUGUUAGAGCUACUCAUUCUAGAUUAAUGCCACCAGGUCAUGCUCGAGUCACAAUUACAGAAUAUAUUGUGCCAACUGCUCUCUUGCCAUGUCCUAAUGAUGAAGUAGUCUAUGUUUGUCAUGCAAAGAAAAGCUACACACCUUGGCCGAUUACCUUGAUUUUUCCGAGAAAGCGUCAUCUCAAGUAUCCACAACUCCUAAGUACGUUAUCACCGAAAAGGUUCACGAGAUGGUGACUUCCACGUGGUUAUGUAUGUUAAAUACUCAUGCUAUGGUAUUGAAAAAAAGGGGUGUGACACUCUCUAUACCAAUACCAAAAUGCAUGUUUCUUAAUGAAGAUGUGGGUGUGAUGCUUGACUACGAGGACUUGUUGGAUUGGUGAUUUAAAAGAGAGGUUGGAGAAUCCCAAAUGAACAUUUUCAUAAAGUACUUGAAAGGUCAUUGUCAGAAUGAAGGUGUCUCGGGUAUGUACGGAUUCUGUGACACAAAUGUUUUAUCUCCAAUGACACCAACUACAGAUGAGGAGGUUCGAUUCGACUAUCUAGCUCGUGUUUUUGGAUGCAACGAGGGAAAGAAUGUCAAUCAACUCUUCUUUGCUCCUUAUAAUGACAAUAUGCAUUGGAGGUUAGCUAUUAUUAGUACCUGGAAUGGACUAGUAUGUUGGUUAGAUCUGGCUGGGGAAGGAAACAAGAUCAAUGAGUUUGCUAAAAAGAUCAUAAAUGAGUACGUGUUAGGGGAUUAAAAAAAAUUCAGCAUGGUCCAUCGAAAGGACAUCAAGAAGAUAAAAAAGGAUCCAUAUAUUGAGUGGAAGCAGCCUAAGUGUCCUCGACAACCUCAAUACUCCAGGUUUGUGGAUACUAUGUUUGUCGCUAUAUGCUUGAGAUUAUACAGAAAAGGGUAUUGUGGGUUUCUGAUAAGUUUUUUAAAGAGGACCCCUGUACAUAUUCAACUGAAAAUAUUGACGAAAUUAGAGACUUGUGGGCUAAGUAUGUUCUAGAGCUUGAACAAGAUGAUGUUAAUGAAGGAAAUGAAGAUGGUAUGGACAUUGCGUGAGUUUAGUUUGUCCAUUACUUUUGGGAAAAGUAUUGCGAUUUUUAGAAUUUUUUGUAUAGUACUUUUGGAGAUUAUCUUAGAUGGCAUGGAAAUUAAAUUAGUGGUUUAUAUUUUUGGGGAAUACUGGAUUUUAUUUUACAGAUGUUGAUGUAUAGUAUUUUUGGAGGUUAUACUAUAACUAAUGGAUAAUUGUAAAAGUGUUUGUCAACUUUUGUUUAUUAUUGUAUGCUCCAUGAAUAUUAUAAAAUUAUGGAGUAAUGUAUAUGAUGUGCAUAUAUAUAGAAGGUGAAAAAUAUAGGUACAAAUAUCCUACAGGUGCCAUAUAAGAACAAAGACAGCUCAUAUACCGUACAUGAACAAAUACAAAUAUAAUUGGAUUUCGGGAAAAAAAAUUUUAAAAAAAAAAAUAACAAAGAGACCUGUUAUCG
Chenopodium quinoa (quinoa) is the source of this 2888-nucleotide long non-coding RNA. RefSeq lists it as uncharacterized. NCBI's taxonomy places the organism in Eukaryota, Viridiplantae, Streptophyta, Magnoliopsida, Caryophyllales, Amaranthaceae. The transcript has 11 exons. The record is from RefSeq and is a predicted model, not a curated record.